ACUACACCAAAGACAAGCAUGAACACAAUUCAAAGAACAAAGUCCACAAACACAGAGUCAGGGGGGAGACACAAGUCCACAAACACAAGUCAAAGUCCAAAAUACAAGUCAAAACACAGAACUAUGACUUUAGUAGUAGUGGUAAUAGCAGUAUUUUGAUUUAUUUGUUGUCAUUAAUAUACACAACUGACAAGGUGAAAACACUUUUGGAAUUUUUGGAAAUCUAUUUAAAGAAACACUGUGAACCGGAGCCUCCAGGGGAAGGUAUGUCAAUUUGUUCCCGCAACCCCAGUAUUCCCAAUAUGCCACUGAGAUCAUGGGUUGUCAUCCUAGAAACCCCUCUCAGAGUGAAGGGCCUCGUAUCCAACAUCUAUGAAACUGUGAUUUCCCUCAAGGAUUCUCCCUGGACUAAAAUCAACGUGAUAAGGAAGGAGAACUUGGGAGAGACAUUUCAGAUGAAAUGUGGGACAGCGCCUUGGACAAGAUAAAUGGAAGCACCUCCAGUACUUGACUCAAUUUAAUAUAAUUUAAAGUCAUUUAUGGUGUCCACAAUUCAAAAGCCAGAAUAGUGAAAAUAGUCCUCAUUUCGAUGAGGUGUCAUGGUGUCCCUGCAGACUUCACACAUAUGUUUUAGACGUAUCCUCGCCUGUCUGACUUGAGCUGUUAUUUUUCAAUCUCUGCCAGAAGCGCUGAAUAUGGAACUGAGGCUUAAUGCUGUGACAGCCAUUGUUGGUACCUAUUUUUAUGGAGAAGAAACUCAUUAGACUGGAAAUCCUAAAACCCUCCCAAAGCAUAGCUCAGGUUUAUGGACCUGCUGAUGGUACUUUAACUAUUUUUCUCAUAAUUUCAGAAAUCAGCAAUAUUCCCUCAUUUUUUAUUGACAUGAUUGCCAUCAUUACAGCAUGCAUCUCAAGCUCUUAUGACCCUGGCUGGUGCUAGUGCCAGUUUGACGUUGGUUCAACUUGCAAACCUUUUAAGAACAAUGUUUGCUUUUGCACGGGCUAGAGCCAGGUCAUUAGCCAUUAAUUUCAACAGAGUAGCUAAAAGCUGUGGAAUCCCCUGUUGACGGUUUACAGCUAUUUUUACUGCUCCACAUGCAAUAGAUUUAUGUUCCUGAAUGGAAUCUCAAACCAAGUCCUUAAAUGAUCCAGUCACAAAAUAUCUUGGUGCCAAACACACUUGAAGAGAAGAGCUAAGGGCGGCGUUUCUGUCUGUUUCCUGUUGCAAGUCGGCAGUCACAACUUCCUGAAAUUACCAGACAGAUCAAAAGGAUGUCAUCCAUCAUGGAGGAUGCACUGCUGACUUGUUCCUCCUCCAGCAAGUUUUCCCACCAUGCCAACAUCUAUUUUACCAUGUAUCAAGGCUAAGUCCUCCUGCAGAGGCCUGGGUUAGAUUCCAGCCCGAGCCCUUUGCAUGUCAUGUCUGCAUGUCAACCCCUCUCUCUCUCCUGUCUUUGCUGCCUCUCUCUAUCGCUAUCCAAUAAAACAACGCCCAAAAAAUAAUCUUAAUAAAAAAAGAAAAGUUGUAACUUAAGUCUAUGUUGACACUUUGUAUAUUAGUGGGUACAGCCAUUAAAAUGUUAAUGUGCCUAGGGUAGAACUUAGGUAAAAGUGGAGCAACAGGCUGCUGAUCUUAGAGUUUUGGUUAUCCUUCAGCUCAUUAAGUUGAACAAAGCACUAACACUAGCAGGACUGGGGUUUGAU
Molecule: long non-coding RNA, 1703 nt
Organism: Myripristis murdjan (pinecone soldierfish)
Lineage: Eukaryota; Metazoa; Chordata; Actinopteri; Holocentriformes; Holocentridae
Exons: 3
Source: RefSeq, a predicted model, not a curated record